RNAcentral lists this long non-coding RNA (9944 nucleotides) under Setaria viridis. RNAcentral's name for it is "long non-coding RNA (SVIR_LNC009353)". The record is from RNAcentral. Lineage: Eukaryota; Viridiplantae; Streptophyta; Magnoliopsida; Poales; Poaceae.
GGGAGUGUUUUGGGGCAUUCGGUUCCGGCACGAAAAAUGAUGCAAAACGGGUGCAUUUCGACACCCGAAUGCACUAUUUCCGGAUAGCGAAACUCAGGUGGAUUUUUUCGCAACGAACGCAUCCAAUCUUCCUAAAUAUACCCUAGAACAUGUUUGGGAGUGUUUUUGAGCAUUCGGUUCCGGCACGAAAAACGAUGCAAAACGGGUGCAUUUCGGCACCCGAAUGCACUAUUGCUGGGUAGCGAAAGUCGGGUGGAUUUUUUCGCAACGAACGCAUGCAAUCUUCCUAAAUAUGCACUAGAACAUGUUUGGGAGUAUUUUUGGGCAUUCGGUUCCGGCACGAAAAACGAUGCAAAACGGGUGCAUUUCGGCACCCGAAUGCACUAUUGCCGGGUAGCGAAACUCGGGUGGAUUUUUUCGCAACGAACGCAUGCAAUCUUCCUAAAUAUGCACUAGAACAUGUUUGGGAGUGUUUUUGGGCAUUCGGUUCCGGCACGAAAAACGAUGCAAAACGGGUGCAUUUCGGCACCCGAAUGCACUAUUGCCGGGUAGCGAAACUCGGGUGGAUUUUUUCGCAACAAACGCAUGCAAUCUUCCUAAAUAUGCACUAGAACAUGUUUGGGAGUGUUUUUGGGCAUUCGGUUCCAGCACGAAAAACGAUGCAAAACGGGUGCAUUUCGGCACCCGAAUGCAUUAUUGCCGAGUAGCGAAACUCGGGUGGAUUUUUUCGCAACGAACGCAUGCAAUCUUCCUAAAUAUGCACUAGAACAUGUUUGGGAGUGUUUUUGGGCAUUCGGUUCCGGCACGAAAAACGAUGCAAAACGGGUGCAUUUCGGCACCCGAAUGCACUAUUGCCGGGUAGCGAAACUCGGGUGGAUUUUUUCGCAACGAACGCAUGCAAUCUUCCUAAAUAUGCACUAGAACAUGUUUGGGAGUGUUUUUGGGCAUUCGGUUCCGGCACGAAAAAUGAUGCAAAACGGGUGAAUUUCGGCACCCGAAUACACUAUUGCUGGGUAGCGAAAGUCGGGUGGAUUUUUUUCGCAACGAACGCAUGCAAUCUUCCUAAAUAUGCACUAGAACAUGUUUGGGAGUGUUUUUGGGCAUUCGGUUCCGGCACGAAAAACGAUGCAAAACGGGUGCAUUUCGGCACCCGAAUGCACUAUUGCCGGGUAGCGAAACUCGGGUGGAUUUUUUCGCAACGAACGCAUGCAAUCUUCCUAAAUAUGCACUAGAACAUGUUUGGGAGUGUUUUUGGGCAUUCGGUUCCGGCACGAAAAACGAUGCAAAACGGGUGCAUUUCGGCACCCGAAUGCACUAUUGCCGGGUAGCGAAACUCGGGUGGAUUUUUUCGCAACGAACGCAUGCAAUCUUCCUAAAUAUGCACUAGAACAUGUUUGGGAGUGUUUUUGGGCAUUCGGUUCCGGCACGAAAAAUGAUGCAAAACGGGUGCAUUUCGGCACCCGAAUGCACUAUUAUCGGGUAGAGAAAGUCGGGUGGAUUUUUUCGCAACGAACGCAUGCAAUCUUCCUAAAUAUGCACUAGAACAUGUUUGGGAGUGUUUUUGGGCAUUCGGUUCCGGCACGAAAAACGAUGCAAAACGGGUGCAUUUCGGCACCCGAAUGCACUAUUGCCGGGUAGCGAAACUCGGGUGGAUUUUUUCGCAACGAACGCAUGCAAUCUUCCUAAAUAUGCACUAGAACAUGUUUGGGAGUCUUUUUGGGCAUUCGGUUCCGGCACGAAAAAUGAUGCAAAACGGGUGAAUUUCGGCACCCGAAUACACUAUUGCUGGGUAGCGAAAGUCGGGUGGAUUUUUUUCGCAACGAACGCAUGCAAUCUUCCUAAAUAUGCACUAGAACAUGUUUGGGAGUGUUUUUGGGCAUUCGGUUCCGGCACGAAAAACGAUGCAAAACGGGUGCAUUUCGGCACCCGAAUGCACUAUUGCCGGGUAGCGAAACUCGGGUGGAUUUUUUCGCAACGAACGCAUGCAAUCUUCCUAAAUAUGCACUAGAACAUGUUUGGGAGUGUUUUUGGGCAUUCGGUUCCGGCACGGAAAACGAUGCAAAACGGGUGCAUUUCGGCACCCGAAUGCACUAUUGCCGGGUAGCGAAACUCGGGUGGAUUUUUUCGCAACGAACGCAUGCAAUCUUCCUAAAUAUGCACUAGAACAUGUUUGGGAGUGUUUUUGGGCAUUCGGUUCCGGCACGAAAAAUGAUGCAAAACGGGUGCAUUUCGGCACCCGAAUGCACUAUUAUCGGGUAGAGAAAGUCGGGUGGAUUUUUUCGCAACGAACGCAUGCAAUCUUCCUAAAUAUGCACUAGAACAUGUUUGGGAGUGUUUUUGGGCAUUCGGUUCCGGCACGAAAAAUGAUGCAAAACGGGUGCAUUUCGGCACCCGAAUGCACUAUUGCUGGGUAGCGAAAGUCGGGUGGAUUUUUUCGCAACGAACGCAUGCAAUCUUCCUAAAUAUGCACUAGAACAUGUUUGGGAGUGUUUUUGGGCAUUCGGUUCCGGCACGAAAGCAUUAUUUCCAGGUAGCGAAACUCGGGUGGAUUUUUUCGCAACGAACGCAUCCAAUCUACCUAAUGAGACCCUAGGACAUGUUUGGGAGUGUUUUGGGGCAUUCGGUUCCGGCACGAAAAAUGAUGCAAAACGGGUGCAUUUCGGCACCCGAAUGCACUAUUUCCGGAUAGCGAAACUCAGGUGGAUUUUUUCGCAACGAACGCAUCCAAUCUUGCUAAAUAUAACCUAGAACAUGUUUGGGAGUGUUUUUGAGCAUUCGGUUCCGGCACGAAAAACGAUGCAAAACGGGUGCAUUUCGGCACCCGAAUGCACUAUUGCCGGGUAGCGAAACUCGGGUGGAUUUUUUCGCAACGAACGCAUGCAAUCUUCCUAAAUAUGCACUAGAACAUGUUUGGGAGUGUUUUUGGGCAUUCGGUUCCGGCACGGAAAACGAUGCAAAACGGGUGCAUUUCGGCACCCGAAUGCAGUAUUGCCGAGUAGCGAAACUCGGGUGGAUUUUUUCGCAACGAACGCAUGCAAUCUUCCUAAAUAUGCACUAGAACAUGUUUGGGAGUGUUUUUGGGCAUUCGGUUCCGGCACGAAAAACGAUGCAAAACGGGUGCAUUUCGGCACCCGAAUGCACUAUUGCCGGGUAGCGAAACUCGGGUGGAUUUUUUCGCAACGAACGCAUGCAAUCUUCCUAAAUAUGCACUAGAACAUGUUUGGGAGUGUUUUUGGGCAUUCGGUUCCGGCACGAAAAAUGAUGCAAAACGGGUGCAUUUCGGCACCCGAAUGCACUAUUAUCGGGUAGAGAAAGUCGGGUGGAUUUUUUCGCAACGAACGCAUGCAAUCUUCCUAAAUAUGCACUAGAACAUGUUUGGGAGUGUUUUUGGGCAUUCGGUUCCGGCACGAAAAAUAAUGCAAAACGGGUGCAUUUCGGCACCCGAAUGCACUAUUGCUGGGUAGCGAAAGUCGGGUGGAUUUUUUCGCAACGAACGCAUGCAAUCUUCCUAAAUAUGCACUAGAACAUGUUUGGGAGUGUUUUUGGGCAUUCGGUUCCGGCACGAAAAACGAUGCAAAACGGGUGCAUUUCGGCACCCGAAUGCACUAUUGCCGGGUAGCGAAACUAGGGUGGAUUUUUUCGCAACAAACGCAUGCAAUCUUCCUAAUUAGACCCUAGAACAUGUUUGGGAGUGUUUUUGGGCAUUCGGUUCCGGCACGAAAAACGAUGCAAAACGGGUGCAUUUCGGCACCCGAAUGCACUAUUGCCGGGUAGGGAAACUCGGGUGGAUUUUUUCACAACAAACGCAUGCAAUCUUCCUAAUUAGACCCUAGAACAUGUUUGGGAUUGUUUUUGGGCAUUCGGUUCCGGCACGAAAAAUGAUGCAAAAUGGGUGCAUUUCGGGACCCGAAUGCACUAUUGCCGGGUAGCGAAACUCGGGUGGAUUUUUUCGCAACGAACGCAUGCAAUCUUCCUAAAUAUGCACUAGAACAUGUUUGGGAGUGUUUUUGGGCAUUCGGUUCCGGCACGAAAAACGAUGCAAAACGGGUGCAUUUCGGCACCCGAAUGCACUAUUGUCGGGUAGAGAAAGUCGGGUGGAUUUUUUCGCAACGAACUCAUGCAAUCUUCGUAAAUAUGCACUAGAACAUGUUUGGGAGUGUUGUUGGGCAUUCGGUUCCGGCACGAAAAACGAUGCAAAACGGGUGCAUUUCGGCACCCGAAUGCACUAUUGCCGGGUAGCGAAAGUCGGGUGGAUUUUUUCGCAACGAACGCAUGCAAUCUUCCUAAAUAUGCACUAGAACAUGUUUGGGAGUGUUUUUGGGCAUUCGGUUCCGGCACGAAAAACGAUGCAAAACGGAUGCAUUUCGGCACCCGAAUGCACUAUUGCCGGGUAGCGAAACUAGGGUGGAUUUUUUCGCAACAAACGCAUGCAAUCUUCCUAAUUAGACCCUAGAACAUGUUUGGGAGUGUUUUUGGGCAUUCGGUUCCGGCACGAAAAACGAUGCAAAACGGGUGCAUUUCGGCACCCGAAUGCACUAUUGCCGGGUAGGGAAACUCGGGUGGAUUUUUUCACAACAAACGCAUGCAAUCUUCCUAAUUAGACCCUAGAACAUGUUUGGGAUUGUUUUUGGGCAUUCGGUUCCGGCACGAAAAAUGAUGCAAAAUGGGUGCAUUUCGGGACCCGAAUGCACUAUUGCCGGGUAGCGAAACUCGGGUGGAUUUUUUCGCAACGAACGCAUGCAAUCUUCCUAAAUAUGCACUAGAACAUGUUUGGGAGUGUUUUUGGGCAUUCGGUUCCGGCACGAAAAACGAUGCAAAACGGGUGCAUUUCGGCACCCGAAUGCACUAUUGUCGGGUAGAGAAAGUCGGGUGGAUUUUUUCGCAACGAACUCAUGCAAUCUUCGUAAAUAUGCACUAGAACAUGUUUGGGAGUGUUGUUGGGCAUUCGGUUCCGGCACGAAAAACGAUGCAAAACGGGUGCAUUUCGGCACCCGAAUGCACUAUUGCCGGGUAGCGAAACUCGGGUGGAUUUUUUCGCAACGAACGCAUGCAAUCUUCCUAAAUAUGCACUAGAACAUGUUUGGGAGGGUUUUUGGGCAUUCGGUUCCGGCACGAAAAAUGAUGCAAAACGGGUGCAUUUCGGCACCCGGAUGCACUAUUAUCGGGUAGAGAAAGUCGGGUGGAUUUUUUCGCAACGAAUGCAUGCAAUCUUCCUAAAUAUGUACUAGAACAUGUUCGGGAGUGUUUUUGGGCAUUCGGUUCCGGCACGAAAAACGAUGCAAAACGGGUGCAUUUCGGCACCCGAAUGCACUAUUGCUGGGUAGCGAAAGUCGGGUGGAUUUUUUCGCAACGAACGCAUGCAAUCUUCCUAAAUAUGCAAUAGAACAUGUUUGGGAGUGUUUUUGGGCAUUCGGUUCCGGCACGAAAAACGAUGCAAAACGGGUGCAUUUCGGCACCCGAAUGCACUAUUGCCGGGUAGCGAAACUCGGGUGGAUUUUUUCGCAACGAACGCAUGCAAUCUUCCUAAUUAGACCCUAGAACAUGUUUGGGAGUGUUUUUGGGCAUUCGGUUCCGGCACGAAAAACUAUGCAAAACGGGUGCAUUUCGGCACCCGAAUGCACUAUUGUCGGGUAGGGAAACUCGGGUGGAUUUUUUCACAACAAACGCAUGCAAUCUUCCUAAUUAGACCCUAGAACAUGUUUGGGAGUGUUUUUGGGCAUUCGGUUCCGGCACGAAAAACGAUGCAAAACGGGUGCAUUUCGGCACCCGAAUGCGCUAUUGCCGGGUAGCGAAACUCGGGUGGAUUUUUUCGCAACGAACGCAUGCAAUCUUCCUAAAUAUGCACUAGAACAUGUUUGGGAGUGUUUUUGGGCAUUCGGUUCCGGCACGAAAAACGAUGCAAAACGGGUGCAUUUCGGCACCCGAAUGCACUAUUGCCGGGUAGCGAAACUCGGGUGGAUUUUUUCGCAACGAACGCAUGCAAUCUUCCUAAAUAUGCACUAGAACAUGUUUGGGAGUGUUUUUGGGCAUUCGGUUCCGGCACGAAAAAUGAUGCAAAACGGGUGAAUUUCGGCACCCGAAUACACUAUUGCGGGGUAGCGAAAGUCGGGUGGAUUUUUUUCGCAACGAACGCAUGCAAUCUUCCUAAAUACGCACUAGAACAUGUUUGGGAGUGUUUUUGGGCAUUCGGUUCCGGCACGGAAAACGAUGCAAAACGGGUGCAUUUCGGCACCCGAAUGCACUAUUGCCGGGUAGCGAAACUCGGGUGGAUUUUUUCGCAACGAACGCAUGCAAUCUUCCUAAAUAUGCACUAGAACAUGUUUGGGAGGGUUUUUGGGCAUUCGGUUCCGGCACGAAAAAUGAUGCAAAACGGGUGCAUUUCGGCACCCGGAUGCACUAUUAUCGGGUAGAGAAAGUCGGGUGGAUUUUUUUCGCAACGAAUGCAUGCAAUCUUCCUAAAUAUGUACUAGAACAUGUUCGGGAGUGUUUUUGGGCAUUCGGUUCCGGCACGAAAAACGAUGCAAAACGGGUGCAUUUCGGCACCCGAAUGCACUAUUGCUGGGUAGCGAAAGUCGGGUGGAUUUUUUCGCAACGAACGCAUGCAAUCUUCCUAAAUAUGCAAUAGAACAUGUUUGGGAGUGUUUUUGGGCAUUCGGUUCCGGCACGAAAAACGAUGCAAAACGGGUGCAUUUCGGCACCCGAAUGCACUAUUGCCGGGUAGCGAAACUCGGGUGGAUUUUUUCGCAACGAACGCAUGCAAUCUUCCUAAUUAGACCCUAGAACAUGUUUGGGAGUGUUUUUGGGCAUUCGGUUCCGGCACGAAAAACUAUGCAAAACGGGUGCAUUUCGGCACCCGAAUGCACUAUUGUCGGGUAGGGAAACUCGGGUGGAUUUUUUCACAACAAACGCAUGCAAUCUUCCUAAUUAGACCCUAGAACAUGUUUGGGAGUGUUUUUGGGCAUUCGGUUCCGGCACGAAAAACGAUGCAAAACGGGUGCAUUUCGGCACCCGAAUGCGCUAUUGCCGGGUAGCGAAACUCGGGUGGAUUUUUUCGCAACGAACGCAUGCAAUCUUCCUAAAUAUGCACUAGAACAUGUUUGGGAGUGUUUUUGGGCAUUCGGUUCCGGCACGAAAAACGAUGCAAAACGGGUGCAUUUCGGCACCCGAAUGCACUAUUGCCGGGUAGCGAAACUCGGGUGGAUUUUUUCGCAACGAACGCAUGCAAUCUUCCUAAAUAUGCACUAGAACAUGUUUGGGAGUGUUUUUGGGCAUUCGGUUCCGGCACGAAAAAUGAUGCAAAACGGGUGAAUUUCGGCACCCGAAUACACUAUUGCGGGGUAGCGAAAGUCGGGUGGAUUUUUUUCGCAACGAACGCAUGCAAUCUUCCUAAAUACGCACUAGAACAUGUUUGGGAGUGUUUUUGGGCAUUCGGUUCCGGCACGGAAAACGAUGCAAAACGGGUGCAUUUCGGCACCCGAAUGCACUAUUGCCGGGUAGCGAAACUCGGGUGGAUUUUUUCGCAACGAACGCAUGCAAUCUUCCUAAAUAUGCACUAGAACAUGUUUGGGAGGGUUUUUGGGCAUUCGGUUCCGGCACGAAAAAUGAUGCAAAACGGGUGCAUUUCGGCACCCGGAUGCACUAUUAUCGGGUAGAGAAAGUCGGGUGGAUUUUUUCGCAACGAAUGCAUGCAAUCUUCCUAAAUAUGUACUAGAACAUGUUCGGGAGUGUUUUUGGGCAUUCGGUUCCGGCACGAAAAACGAUGCAAAACGGGUGCAUUUCGGCACCCGAAUGCACUAUUGCUGGGUAGCGAAAGUCGGGUGGAUUUUUUCGCAACGAACGCAUGCAAUCUUCCUAAAUAUGCAAUAGAACAUGUUUGGGAGUGUUUUUGGGCAUUCGGUUCCGGCACGAAAAACGAUGCAAAACGGGUGCAUUUCGGCACCCGAAUGCACUAUUGCCGGGUAGCGAAACUCGGGUGGAUUUUUUCGCAACGAACGCAUGCAAUCUUCCUAAUUAGACCCUAGAACAUGUUUGGGAGUGUUUUUGGGCAUUCGGUUCCGGCACGAAAAACUAUGCAAAACGGGUGCAUUUCGGCACCCGAAUGCACUAUUGUCGGGUAGGGAAACUCGGGUGGAUUUUUUCACAACAAACGCAUGCAAUCUUCCUAAUUAGACCCUAGAACAUGUUUGGGAGUGUUUUUGGGCAUUCGGUUCCGGCACGAAAAACGAUGCAAAACGGGUGCAUUUCGGCACCCGAAUGCGCUAUUGCCGGGUAGCGAAACUCGGGUGGAUUUUUUCGCAACGAACGCAUGCAAUCUUCCUAAAUAUGCACUAGAACAUGUUUGGGAGUGUUUUUGGGCAUUCGGUUCCGGCACGAAAAACGAUGCAAAACGGGUGCAUUUCGGCACCCGAAUGCACUAUUGCCGGGUAGCGAAACUCGGGUGGAUUUUUUCGCAACGAACGCAUGCAAUCUUCCUAAAUAUGCACUAGAACAUGUUUGGGAGUGUUUUUGGGCAUUCGGUUCCGGCACGAAAAAUGAUGCAAAACGGGUGAAUUUCGGCACCCGAAUACACUAUUGCGGGGUAGCGAAAGUCGGGUGGAUUUUUUUCGCAACGAACGCAUGCAAUCUUCCUAAAUACGCACUAGAACAUGUUUGGGAGUGUUUUUGGGCAUUCGGUUCCGGCACGAAAAACGAUGCAAAACGGGUGCAUUUCGGCACCCGAAUGCACUAUUGCCGGGUAGCGAAACUCGGGUGGAUUUUUUCGCAACGAACGCAUGCAAUCUUCCUAAAUAUGCACUAGAACAUGUUUGGGAGUGUUUUUGGGCAUUCGGUUCCGGCACGAAAACGAUGCAAAACGGGUGCAUUUCGGCACCCGAAUGCACUAUUGCCGGGUAGCGAAACUCGGGUGGAUUUUUUCGCAACGAACGCAUGCAAUCUUCCUAAAUAUGCACUAGAACAUGUUUGGGAGUGUUUUUGGGCAUUCGGUUCCGGCACGAAAAAUGAUGCAAAACGGGUGCAUUUCGGCACCCGAAUGCACUAUUGCCGGGUAGCGAAACUCGGGUGGAUUUUUUCGCAACGAACGCAUGCAAUCUUCCUAAAUAUGCACUAGAACAUGUUUGGGAGUGUUUUUGGGCAUUCGGUUCCGGCACGAAAAAUGAUGCAAAACGGGUGCAUUUCGGCACCCGAAUGCACUAUUAUCGGGUAGAGAAAGUCGGGUGGAUUUUUUCGCAACGAACGCAUGCAAUCUUCCUAAAUAUGCACUAGAACAUGUUUGGGAGUGUUUUUGGGCAUUCGGUUCCGGCACGAAAAAUGAUGCAAAACGGGUGCAUUUCGGCACCCGAAUGCACUAUUGCCGGGUAGCGAAACUCGGGUGGAUUUUUUCGCAACGAACGCAUGCAAUCUUCCUAAAUAUGCACUAGAACAUGUUUGGGAGUGUUUUUGGGCAUUCGGUUCCGGCACGAAAAACGAUGCAAAACGGGUGCAUUUCGGCACCCGAAUGCACUAUUGUCGGGUAGAGAAAGUCGGGUGGAUUUUUUCGCAACGAACUCAUGCAAUCUUCGUAAAUAUGCACUAGAACAUGUUUGGGAGUGUUUUUGGGCAUUCGGUUCCGGCACGAAAAACGAUGCAAAACGGGUGCAUUUCGGCACCCGAAUGCACUAUUGCCGGGUAGGGAAACUCGGGUGGAUUUUUUCACAACAAACGCAUGCAAUCUUCCUAAAUACGCACUAGAACAUGUUUGGGAGUGUUUUUGGGCAUUCGGUUCCGGCACGAAAAAUGAUGCAAAAUGGGUGCAUUUCGGGACCCGAAUGCACUAUUGCCGGGUAGCGAAACUCGGGUGGAUUUUUUCGCAACGAACGCAUGCAAUCUUCCUAAAUAUGCACUAGAACAUGUUUGGGAGUGUUUUUGGGCAUUCGGUUCCGGCACGAAAAACGAUGCAAAACGGGUGC